CCUACGGGUGGCAGCAGUAGGGAAUUUUUCACAAUGGGCGAAAGCCUGAUGGAGCAACGCCGCGUGCAGGAUGAAGGCCUUCGGGUUGUAAACUGCUUUUAUAAGCGAGAAAUAUGAUGGUAACUUAUGAAUAAGGAUCGGCUAACUCCGUGCCAGCAGCCGCGGUAAUACGGAGGAUGCGAGCGUUAUCCGGAUUUAUUGGGUUUAAAGGGUGCGUAGGCGGGUUAUCAAGUCAGCGGUAAAAUCGUGGAGCUCAACUCCAUCCAGCCGUUGAAACUGAUGAUCUUGAGUGGGCGAGAAGUAUGCGGAAUGCGUGGUGUAGCGGUGAAAUGCAUAGAUAUCACGCAGAACUCCGAUUGCGAAGGCAGCAUACCGGCGCCCGACUGACGCUGAAGCACGAAAGCGUGGGUAUCGAACAGGAUUAGAUACCCGAGUAGUC
This 439-nucleotide ribosomal RNA is filed under the name uncultured bacterium. Its description in RNAcentral is "partial 16S ribosomal RNA". It matches the Rfam family "Bacterial small subunit ribosomal RNA", at positions 338 to 795 of the family's 1533-position model. The record is from RNAcentral.